GUAACAUAACAACCUUCAUACUCAAUCUCAUCUGAUUUUGGAAGCUAAGCAGGGUUGGGCAUGGUUAGUACUUGACUAGGAGACUACCUGGCAUGGUGAUGGCAGGGAUUUCC
This 113-nucleotide ribosomal RNA is filed under the name Pogona vitticeps (central bearded dragon). Lineage: Eukaryota; Metazoa; Chordata; Lepidosauria; Squamata; Agamidae. The record is from RNAcentral.